Molecule: non-coding RNA, 101 nt
Filed under: Soonwooa buanensis
Lineage: Bacteria; Pseudomonadati; Bacteroidota; Flavobacteriia; Flavobacteriales; Weeksellaceae
Description: SAM-I sequence
Rfam family: SAM riboswitch aptamer (S box leader)
About the family: The SAM riboswitch is found upstream of a number of genes which code for proteins involved in methionine or cysteine biosynthesis in Gram-positive bacteria. The SAM riboswitch acts at the level of transcription termination control. The predicted structure consists of a complex stem-loop region followed by a single stem loop terminator region.
Source: Rfam by way of RNAcentral
CGCUUAUCCAGAAAGAUGGAGGGAAUUGACCCGAUGAAAUCUUGGCAACCUGCAAAUGUAAGGUGCCGCAUUCAACCUCAAGAUUUGAGGAAAGAUAAGUC